CUUCUUUCAUGUGUAUAUUCUUAGAUUUAGAAGCAAUUUGUGUCCUUUUUCAAAGUGCAUCUCUGACAAAUCAACCAUGAAGGCUCAAGCAUUGUUGCUCAUUGCUCUUGUUGUAGCUGCAACACUUUUGACAGCAGAAUGUCACCUAGUGGGUGGAAAAGAAAGAAUGCCACCAAGACCUGGUGCUCCACCCUCGCAUUCUCCAGAGACAAAAAGUCCAGAAACUCAUCCAAGUCAACCAAUCUAUGGCAGACAUCCCAACAGUGAUAAAGAAGGAUUUAAACAUGGACAUCACUGAUUGAAGUCUCAGAAGCCUACUGGUAAAGGAAAUGGAUUUGAACGUCGAUAUCCCUGAUGGAAUUCUCAUAGGACUGCCAGUCUCCAUCUAGGCAGCAAGCAUCUUUGACAGUUGUCAGCCAUUAUACUGGGGAAAGUGAUCAGUAGUUAUUUUCCAAACAAAAUAAAUAUUGUUGCUAUCAUAUCAGUUAUCAUAGUUUGCAUGUGUGCAUUACAAUGAUCAGAAAAAAGGUACUGUGCUCAUUGCACCUACAGAUUUGCAAGCAGCAUUUUGUGGUCAGCAAUAGUGUUCAUGGCCAUGGAAAGUGCUUACAGGUAUGAGCACUGAAUGUAAACAAAACGGCUUAUGUACAGGCAAUGCUCACAAACGAGCAUGAGUUGUAACCCAGACAUAUUAUGGGCAAGCUUGUGGAAAGAAUAAAGAAGAAGGGGAAGUGAAAUGGGGAAGUUGUACACAAAUUGUGUUAUACUGCAUAAUUAAUUAAUAUUGACGUAGAAAUGUUUAAAGUGUACUCAUAUACUGCAGGCAAAUGUGAUGAAGUGUAUGUGAAGCAUUUCUGACAUAAACCUGCAAUAUUAAUUUAAUAAUUAAUGCCAAUGACAAUACCACAGUUAUUUACAUAAAUAAAAUCAGACAUGCUAAUAAAUAAUAGAGAUAUAAAGUUGCAGUGCAAAAAAGGUGAGUGUAAAAGUGAUAUACAUGUUUAUUAAAUGCUGAGUUGAGAUAACAGUUACCAAGGACAGAAAGAUACAUUAUUGGAAUGCAUGCACAGGCUGCAGUUAUUGCAUAUGAGAUGUAUAAACAGGAAAUCUAUGUAUGCAAACUGAAACCACUUCUGUAUUCUUCACUUCAGCAUGUAUACACAAGAACAAAAGAACCUUACAGCUGUAAUGUCAGGCACAUAAGAAAUGAAC
Molecule: long non-coding RNA, 1212 nt
Organism: Protopterus annectens (West African lungfish)
Lineage: Eukaryota; Metazoa; Chordata; Ceratodontiformes; Protopteridae
Exons: 3
Source: RefSeq, a predicted model, not a curated record